CCUACGGGAGGCUGCAGUGAGGAAUAUUGGUCAAUGGACGAGAGUCUGAACCAGCCAAGUCGCGUGAAGGAUGACUGCCCUAUGGGUUGUAAGCUUCUUUUAUAAAGGAAUAAAACGAGGCACGUGUGCCUUUUUGCAUGUACUUUAUGAAUAAGGAUCGGCUAACUCCGUGCAAGCAGCCGCGGUAAUACGGAGGAUCCGAGCGUUAUCCGGAGUUAUUGGGUGUAAAGGGAGCGUAGAUGGGUUGUUAAGUCAGUUGUGAAAGUUUGCGGCUCAACCGUAAAAUUGCAAUUGAUACUGGCAGUCUUGAGUACAGUUGAGGUAGGCGGAAUUCGUGGUGUAGCGGUGAAAUGCGUAGAUAUCACGAAGAACCCCGAUUGCGAAGGCAGCUUACUAAACUGUGACUGACAUUGAUGCUCGAAAGUGUGGGUAUCAAACAGGAUUAGAGACCCUUGUAGUC
RNAcentral lists this ribosomal RNA (460 nucleotides) under uncultured bacterium. RNAcentral describes it as "partial 16S ribosomal RNA". It matches the Rfam family "Bacterial small subunit ribosomal RNA", at positions 338 to 795 of the family's 1533-position model. The record is from RNAcentral.